UACGAGUGCUCCAAGCGUUAUCCGGAAUUAUUGGGCGUAAAGGGUGUGUAGGUGGUUGUGUUAGUCUUUUGUUAAAUUCUUCGGCUUAACCGGGGGCAUGCGAAGGAAACGGCACAACUAGAGGAUGCGAGAGGUGAAUGGAACUCAUGGAGUAGGGGUGAAAUCCGUUGAUAUCAUGGGGAACACCAAAUGCGAAGGCAAUUCACUGGCGCACUCCUGACACUGAGACACGAAAGCGUAGGUAGCGAAUGGG
Molecule: ribosomal RNA, 253 nt
Filed under: uncultured bacterium
Lineage: Bacteria
Description: partial 16S ribosomal RNA
Rfam family: Bacterial small subunit ribosomal RNA
Source: RNAcentral